ACCACACACCCAACAAACUGAGGAGAACUAGGCAGUUUUCUGAUCAGAGUUCAGAUAAGGAAGGUCACAGCAAUUUGCGGGCACUGACUAAAAUAACCCCACGGCUGGGAGAGUUACCACGUAAGCACACUGAAAAGAACUGCAGCUCGGAGCAUCUGUGGAGACUUCUGCAGACUAUAUUUCAGGCGUUCGAGAGUGCGCGCUGCAUCGAAAUCCAACCAAUAGCAAGGGGGAGCCUAGCUCUCCUUUUUAGCCUCCCUGUGUUCCCCCUACCUGAAGCAAGGGUGUGCUGCAGCUGCGAGAUGACCGCCCAGUGCCCUCCAGGCCCCUCCUACCCUGAUCCAACUGCGAAAGCAUAAAGGCAAGCCUCCAACGGUUUAAAGGAGAACCUUGCCCAAAUCAAGACCGACUUCUGGCCACCCUCACAUGUUUGUUUCACUGGCAGCCCUCUGCAACACGGGAACCAUCCUAAGAAGUAAGAAGGCAGGAAACAGAGAUCCCGGAUUGCUGGACCCUCAGUGGCAGAAGGGGAGCCCCUGAAUGCUAUAGCUGUAAUUAUCUUUCACAAAGUAAACCCAUUUCUGGGUGAGUAUUUGUAAAGGAAGACUGGGAAAUAUGCCCUGGAGAAAGAUCACCAGUUUAAUCACAAAAAUCAGUGGGUUAGGGGCAGAGUGAGGAAGAACGUGCUGAAAGGCACACCACCCUUCUGUGCCUCAGUUCUUUCCCUCCAGAAAGAAAUACAGGCUACUGACAGUGGAUUCAGUGUGGCCUCUUCAGCGGAAGCAGCAGAAACUGAAUUCUGGCUAGUUUCUUACAGAAAGUCCAUGAGGACAUUUACAGAAUAAAAAGGAAGGCUGAAGAACGCGACUCAUGGAUGACGGGCCAGCCAAUGUUGGGGUCUCUUUGGUAGACCCAGUAGCUGGCACUGUCGGUUGCCUUUGCUAGGUGGACAAUGCCCAGCUUCCAGCUGUUUCUCUUCUCAUCGUAUUCAACUGGCCUUAGUCUCAGUAGGGUGUCCCUUUGUCAAUGGGCACAUGCCUGUAAGGUUUUGAAUACCUGGAGUCCUCAAUUUGCUGAUUCACAGAGUAUCCCGGCAGAGGGAGCAGGGGGCACAAUGAUCUCACGGGACAUGAUGGUAUUGCUUCUAAAAGAAUGGGGAUCAGAAGGCCUUUCUCCUCCAUUGAUCAUGUUUACUGCUGUGGAUUGAACUGCUAUAAUUUUCCUGCCUAGGUUGAUGGUUAUCCGUUCCUAUCAGUCGGUUCAUUUUCAGUAUUGUGGCUUGAACCCAGAGCCUCAUGUAUGCCAAGGAAGCACUCUACCUCUGAGCUACACACAAGCCCCCAUCUCCUUUCAAAAUUCAUCUUUGAGAGACAUGCAGACAGGACUUGAACUUGUAAAUAUACUACCUCAGCCUCCUGAAUGGCUGGGAUAUGCCACCAUACCAGGCUAACUUGGAUUGACAACCUAGUCAUGGUUACCAGUUUGUGAACAUCAAAUGAACUUUUGAAGCAGAUGUAGUAUUGAAUUAUACCAGGACAAGAGAUGUGGGCUUUGGCAAUCCUUGCCAACUAAGGUGUGUGUGGCUCUGCUAUCAUUUUUCAUAACCGAGCUUGCUCAGACUUGGACAAUUUAAGGAAAACCAAAUGUUCUUCAAAGAAUGUGAAAGUCCACCUUCUUCUCUAUAUCCCCAGCAUCUCUUCUUGGCAUGGUGGUCCCUGAGGUAGCAUGGCUAUUGUUCGGAUUUGCAGGUGCCCCCAGGGUGUAGUGUGGUUACUGGUGGGAUUUGCAGGUCGUCCUUGAGUUCUGAAGCUUCGGGAUUUUGAUUAAGCCAUAUUCCUGGCUUGCUUGGUUUUUCAUCAUAGAGAACUUUCCAUGAGACUUCUAGUCCUCUGCAAUCAUGCAUUUUUAUUCCUGAAUGACAAACGCAUCAAGCUGGCCAAUCAGAAGAAUUCAUCUCAUGGCAUGGGGAUGGUUUGGAAAUAGUCCUUGGUCCUAUGAGCAGUGACUCGAAGGGUUUCAGAGACUUUGUGGCUGGUCCUUCCAGGGGAGACGUAUUUUUUAUGUUGAUAUUGCUUAACUGCAGGGUAUGAUAAAGCUUUGUAAUGAAUAUCAUCUAAACCAUGUGAAUGGAGUGUCCACGGAAUGAUGUCAGUAUAGAGAGGGAGAAAGGUUAAUGCUACAAAAAAAGAUAGAUGUCUCAUAACUUCAUUCAUUCCUUAAGAAAUACUGCCCAUUGUAAAAUUAGUCCUUAAAUUGUACUCACACUAAUAAGACUACUUCUUAUGCAUAAAUUAUUUCAAAUCAUAGAGCCAUUCUUUAUAGACUGUAAGAAAUUAAAUAACUGACUAAAUAAUAUCAUAUCAAUUUUUAAAAAUUGUAUUCAUUAAUACUUUUAUAGCAAAUCACUGGAAAUAAUAGAGCUAAAAUGAAAACUAAAAAUAUUAAAAAUAGCAUUAGCAAUAAGCAUUUAAGUGAAUAGAACUCUGUGUCGGGAACCAAGCCUAGAAUUAUACUUGCCAGAGUUAAUGGCAGAUAUAUUUAUUUUCCAUCCCUAUAUAUACUCGCUGUGUACUUAAUAGCAUUUAUAUAGGCAUUGGAUAAUGGGUAUAGUCCUAUAUAUAUAAAAAACAUGCAUGAGGGUUUGUGCCUAGUCUUAUUGUAAAUUGUUAUGCAAUGUUUGGUUGAUACCACUGGAAUUCUGAGGGAGAAAUAGAGAAGCAGUGUAUC
Mesocricetus auratus (golden hamster) is the source of this 2727-nucleotide long non-coding RNA. RefSeq lists it as uncharacterized. Lineage: Eukaryota; Metazoa; Chordata; Mammalia; Rodentia; Cricetidae. The record is from RefSeq and is a predicted model, not a curated record. The transcript is spliced from 6 exons.